GAUGAACGCUAGCUACAGGCUUAACACAUGCAAGUCGCGGGGCAGCAUUCACUUAGCUUGCUAAGUGAGAUGGCGACCGGCGCACGGGUGAGUAACGCGUAUCCAACCUGCCCACCACUUGGGGAUAACCUUGCGAAAGUAAGACUAAUACCCAAUGAUAUCCCACGAAGGCAUCCGAAUGAGAUUAAAGAUUUAUCGGUGAUGGAUGGGGGAUGCGUCUGAUUAGCUUGUUGGCGGGGUAACGGCCCACCAAGGCAACGAUCAGUAGGGGUUCUGAGAGGAAGGUCCCCCANAUUGGAACUGAGACACGGUCCAAAACUCCUAACGGGAGGCAGCAGUGAGGAAUAUUGGUUAAAUGGGCGAGAGCCUGACCAGCCAAGUAGACGUGC
This 389-nucleotide ribosomal RNA is filed under the name uncultured bacterium. Its description in RNAcentral is "bacterial SSU rRNA". It matches the Rfam family "Bacterial small subunit ribosomal RNA", at positions 28 to 404 of the family's 1533-position model. The record is from RNAcentral.